AGGCAACGACGGGUAGCUGGUCUGAGAGGACGAACAGCCACACUGGGACUGAGACACGGCCCAGACUCCUACGGGAGGCAGCAGCAGGGAAUAUUGCACAAUGGGCGAAAGCCUGAUGCAGCGACGCCGCGUGAGGGAUGAAGGCCUUCGGGUUGUAAACCUCUUUCAGGAGGGAAGAAGCGCAAGUGACGGUACCUCCAGAAGAAGCCCCGGCCAACUACGUGCCAGCAGCCGCGGUAAUACGUAGGGGGCGAGCGUUGUCCGGAUUCAUUGGGCGUAAAGAGCUCGUAGGCGGCUCAGUAAGUCGGCCGUGAAAUUCCAGGGCUCAACUCUGGGAGGCCGGUCGAUACUGCUGUGGCUAGGGUCCGGUAGAGGAGAGCGGAAUUCCCGGUGUAGCGGUGAAAUGCGCAGAUAUCGGGAGGAACACCCGUAGCGAAGGCGGCUCUCUGGGCCGGUACCGACGCUGAGGAGCGAAAGCUAGGGGAGCAAACAGGAUUAGAUACCCUGGUAGUCCUAGCUGUAAACGUUGGGCACUAGGUGUGGCGGAUUGAUUGACGUCUGCCGUGCCGUAGCAAACAGCAUUAAGUG
This 588-nucleotide ribosomal RNA is filed under the name uncultured bacterium. RNAcentral's name for it is "bacterial SSU rRNA". It matches the Rfam family "Bacterial small subunit ribosomal RNA", at positions 271 to 866 of the family's 1533-position model. The record is from RNAcentral.